This 425-nucleotide ribosomal RNA is filed under the name uncultured bacterium. RNAcentral describes it as "bacterial SSU rRNA". It matches the Rfam family "Bacterial small subunit ribosomal RNA", at positions 355 to 772 of the family's 1533-position model. The record is from RNAcentral.
UGGGGAAUAUUGGACAAUGGGCGCAAGCCUGAUCCAGCCAUGCCGCGUGUGUGAAGAAGGCCUUCGGGUUGUAAAGCACUUUUGUCCGGAACGAAACGGUUGGCGUGAAUAUCGCCGACUACUGACGGUACCGGAAGAAUAAGCACCGGCUAACUACGUGCCAGCAGCCGCGGUAAUACGUAGGGUGCGAGCGUUAAUCGGAAUUACUGGGCGUAAAGCGUGCGCAGGCGGUUUUGUAAGCCAGAUGUGAAAUCCCCGGGCUUAACCUGGGAAUGGCAUUUGGGACUGCAAGGCUGGAGUUUGGCAGAGGAGACUGGAAUUCCUGGUGUAGCAGUGAAAUGCGUAGAUAUCAGGAGGAAUACCGAUGGCGAAGGCAGGUCUCUGGGCUAUAACUGACGCUCAUGCACGAAAGCGUGGGGAGCAAA